AGUUUUUCAUGUUUUUAAUCCUCCAAGUUUUUGAGAUCGAGAGUCAAUUCCUGCUCGAAGAACAUGUAUAUAGCUUCCAUUUGCCAUCAGCUGGGUCCUCCCAUCAAAAUAAAUGGAAGCAGAAAAUGCUUUAGUGAAACAAAGGAAAUGUGCAAGCAUUUUUUCUUUUUCUAUUUUCCUACUUCCCCCUUUUCCUUCUGGUUCUCUUAUAACCUGAACCUCAGACGAAGGACUGCAACAACACCAGGAUGGGGAGCGGGUCACCCGGAUCAAAGCGCAAUCAAGAUGACAUCACUCCCUGGAACUGCAUUUCGACUCCCCAACUCCCGGCCUCAUAACAGGAACUCAUGCAGUGUUUCAGGUGCCUUAAGGCAUGGAGCUCCUUGAAAGAGAAACACAAAUCACGAAAAAUGUUGAGAUAAAAUCCUGCUCCUCAGAGGCGCCUGUUUGGCACAGGGAGCGCAUGAUAACAGCUUGCUUUAGAAAGGUGACAUUUCUGCUGAAGGCUGAAUAAUAAAAAAUGCAUUUAAAAAAACUCAGCUCUUCCGUGUCUUCUGACGAUUGACUUUUGAAGUGAAGGCCAUUUCUUCGAUGUGAAGGGUCCGUUUUGAGGCUAGCCUCUCCAGCCCCCAGACAAGGGCCUAUUAACUCAUGUCAUCACUGAUGAGACUGAGGAACUUUUAAAGUUUAUCACAUAAUAGGGCUGUUAGUCUUCUUUUCAAGGUGCAAACACUGAGUGCUCAGAAUGUGUCAAGCACUGUGGAGGCAUUGAGGGGCAGAGACAGAUGAAAAACAGGUGAUCCCUGCCCUCAGGAUAUAGGUCAUUGGCCACCAGAGUGCAUAGACUUCCAUUAUUCUCUAUCUUCCCGACAACCAAACAGUUGGACAGGGCAAGUGAUGUGCUCUGUGUUUUACAAAUGGAGAAACUCAAAUCCCAAGAAGUGGAUUUGCCCCGGUUGGCAUGACAAGCUAAUAAGAGCCGUGAUUGGAAACAGUAGUUGUAGUUCUGCUUCAUUGAGUGGAGGUGCACUGGAUUCUUAGGUUACGAACUCUGAGAGGCAGGAGCUGUGUCUUUAACUUUUUGCAACCUGUCCCGAAUUAGCAACCUCCACUCAUGCGUGACCCCCUUUCUAACAUCUCUCCCAGACACACACACACACAACACACACGCACGAUGUAUAUAUACACACAUGUAUACACACACAUAUAUGUAUGUAUGAUGUAUGUAUUUAUAAAUGCAGG
This 1242-nucleotide long non-coding RNA is filed under the name Suricata suricatta (meerkat). RNAcentral describes it as "lncRNA (ENSSSUG00005020493.1)". The record is from RNAcentral. Lineage: Eukaryota; Metazoa; Chordata; Mammalia; Carnivora; Herpestidae.